CAUGCAGGUGCCACUAUGUAACCCCCCUCAGUCAAAGCUGGCUGAAUCAGACCUCACCUUGCCACAAAGCAGCCACCUCACCUAGGGCCCCUUUCCUCUCUUCCAGAGACCUGGUUUGUGUGUAGCUGCUGACAGCUGCAACAGUUGGCCCCCAACGUGUGGCUUAGAAAUGAGGGGAUGAAAAGAGGGCAGCACUGUCUUGAUGGAGUGCCACAGGAAACAGAAGAAAAAAGAUGGUAUCCGGCACAGGCUUUCAAGUUACCUUAACAUGAAAGGCAACAAAAACUAAGUUCCUGAUAGGAGCAAAACCCUCCAGAGCUGCUUCACCUGCCUCCAGAACCAAGCAUCAAGAUGCUAAUUUGGCUGAUUGGGAGAAGGGGAUUCCCUGCCUGCUUGAUUCACAGAUUCAUAAUACACAUCAGACCUUGAUCAGAAA
Mastomys coucha (southern multimammate mouse) is the source of this 436-nucleotide long non-coding RNA. RefSeq lists it as uncharacterized. The record is from RefSeq and is a predicted model, not a curated record. The transcript is spliced from 4 exons. Lineage: Eukaryota; Metazoa; Chordata; Mammalia; Rodentia; Muridae.